Vidua macroura (Pin-tailed whydah) is the source of this 1261-nucleotide long non-coding RNA. RefSeq lists it as uncharacterized. Lineage: Eukaryota; Metazoa; Chordata; Aves; Passeriformes; Viduidae. The transcript is spliced from 2 exons. The record is from RefSeq and is a predicted model, not a curated record.
CCCCCGCCCCCGGGAUUCUGCUCCAAACACUGAACGAGCCCCCAGUUCCUUACUCGCCCCCUGCUCGGGUUGAGUCUCUCGUGUCCCUAGCUCAUUUUUGUUGUUUUGGCUGAAGUUCAGUGGAGCGGCUGCGGGAUGGGAUUGGGACCUGCUCAGCAGAGCCAGAUGGGAAGCUCUCAGGAAGAGGCUGCUCACCUUUUAGAGGGUUUUUAACUAUUUAAAACUUCAUGGUGCCCCAGGGCAAUCCCAUGAGAUCAUGAUCCAUCUCCCAGAAGAGACAGGGACAGCCUGGCAGUGCCACACUGGGAUGGGAUGAGCUCCCUGCCCUGCCGGGCUUCAGGAGGCACGCGAGGGGAGCAAACCCCAAUUCCCACAUCCUGUGGGGCCGGCAUUGAUGGCAUUAUCUCUCCCCUGUCUCGGCUAAAGGGAAGCAGUACCUUAACACACUCCCGGUAUGGCCAGAGGUCUUUAAAAAGCUCCAGCACUUUGAGGAAAAUCGCCUCCAGGCAUUCCUUGGGUGCUGUAAAUUCAGGGUUUAAGGCCAGAAGCGACCCUGGCCAUUAUCUGGUCACACCUCCCUUGUAAAAGCCACAAACGACAACAAAAAACGCCUUGAGCGUUUAAUUUGCUGAAGGGCCUUCAACAGAUGGAGAGCUGCCACGUCCUGGGGUCAGUUGUUCCCACAACUAACAGGACGAAGUGUCCAAAGUGGCUGCUUCGUUCCAGGCUAAAAUUACAGAGGUGAAGAGCAGGGAUGUGGGGAGGGGGAAGGAAAACGAGGAUUUCAGCCCAGAGAAGCCCUCCAAGCACCGAGUUCACCCCUCCACACCCAGCUGGGCUUCCCUAACGGCCCCAAAAGCCCACCCGCGUUCCCGAGGGAAGCGAGGACGAUCCAUGGGUUCUGUUGUCCUUCAUUCCACCGGAGUCUGUCUCGUAGCUAACCAGAUUUCAGUGGAGUGAAGCACAAGAGGCAUGGAGCUGAGCCAGCACACAGGAGCUGCUGCACUGCCGGCCUGGGACGCCACGUGGGAAUCGGGGUGCAGCAGGCAGAGACCUCAGUGCUGGCAGACGGAGAGGAGCAGCACGAGGAGCUCCUCAAUGGCCUGAGUACCUCCUGAAAAUCCCCACUAAGAACCCUCUGCGAGCUUGUUCUUCCUUCCUGCAUAAUGUGUAAAGAUUAAAAGUCUACAAAGACCACAAGCUGCUUUCUGGAAGGUUUAAAUACCUUAUUAGCAAGAAAUUAAAGCCUAAAGUGGAUAAA